GCCCGGGUGGCGGAAUGGUAGACGCUGCGGACUUAAAAUCCGCUGUCCGAAAGGACGUGGGGGUUCGAGUCCCCCCCCGGGCACCA
Molecule: transfer RNA, 86 nt
Filed under: Candidatus Moanibacter tarae
Lineage: Bacteria; Pseudomonadati; Verrucomicrobiota; Opitutia; Puniceicoccales
Description: Candidatus Moanabacter tarae tRNA-Leu
Rfam family: tRNA
About the family: Transfer RNA (tRNA) molecules are approximately 80 nucleotides in length.
Source: RNAcentral